RNAcentral lists this long non-coding RNA (231 nucleotides) under Elaeis guineensis (African oil palm). RNAcentral describes it as "long non-coding RNA (EGUI_LNC070517)". The record is from RNAcentral. Lineage: Eukaryota; Viridiplantae; Streptophyta; Magnoliopsida; Arecales; Arecaceae.
AAUAAACUUGAUGUCUGACUGAAGACGUAAAACUUAGCGCUUGUUGGGAGGCAACCCAACGAUUUCAUAUUUUUUUUACUUUACUGCAGCUACAGAAAUUUAGAACAAGAGCCUAUUAAUCAAUGAAGCUAUCUUCAACUUUCGAAGUAAAAUUAUCCCAGGUGCACUCUCUCCUUUUAUUUUCUUUGCUUUCCUACUCUAUUGAGGACAAUAUAGAUUAAGUUGGGGGGA